GACCUGAUAGCAUAAUGGUUAGUGCAUCUGCUCUACUUACAAGUGAUGCUUUUCUGUAAGCAGAAGAUCCCCGUUCGAUUCGGGGUCAGGUCA
This is a non-coding RNA of Mycena metata, 93 nucleotides long. The record is from the annotation of a GenBank genome assembly. NCBI's taxonomy places the organism in Eukaryota, Fungi, Basidiomycota, Agaricomycetes, Agaricales, Mycenaceae.